GAGAUGACGUUGAGCGGCGUCGUGUGAUUGGCUGCGCGGCUGAGCCGUUGCGUUCCCCUCACGCCUCGUCCCUCGCAGGUGGUCUGCAGGGCUCGGGGCGGGCUGCAAGUGGAGGGGGCGAGCGAGGGCCCUCCAGGGCUUUGGGUCAGCAAGCUGAGGGGCAGAGCGAGGCCCCUCCCUUCGCGCCUUCUCGUGACCGUAGGACAAGUGAACAACCGGCCGCGUGGGCCCGUCGCCAUCCCUCAGCGUGUUCGCACCUCACAGUGCGUUCGCAUGUCAAACCCUUCCCGCCUCUCCACGGAGCAGGCGAGGCGAGGAGACGCCGCCAGCUGCUGCGGAAGAGGAUGAGGCGGGGGGAAGAUGGCUGCACCGGCAGAGCUGCGCGAGGAGGAUCUGCGCCUCGCGACAAUGAGCGCCGCUUCGCUGCUUCCAUAAAUAUCUCGCCGCGCGCCGCCACCGUGAUGGGGUGGAGAGGAUUCGCGCGCACUGAUGGCCCUACAAACAACACUUGGUCGGGUUGCCCACCCUCCCAGAUCGGCUGAGUGUGUGCUGAAAUCGGACCAUCAGAUGCUUUGAACGGGACGAUUCGUGACGUCGUGCGUGGGGGAAAAAAUCUCCCAGAAGAGCUUUGGUCAGAGUUGGCCACCGUAACCGCUGGGAGUCUUGUACUCCCAGUAGUGUCACCCGCCACGGUCAAGUCAGAGGUGAGGUAUCGGAUGAAGAGCAGUCCAGCCCAGCCCAACACGGAGACUCAGCGGUGGGGCAGACGGAUGCAGAAGGCACGCUGCUCCACGGCUGCGCGGGCGGAUGGGGCUGCAGUGGAAGAGGAACCCCAGUUGUCUUGGAUGUCCUUGCUGCCGGACGCAGGUUUCUCCUCUGCCAAGAUCCAUGCAGCGGUUGAUGCGCAAUGGUCUCCUCACAUUAAAAAAACCCUCACACGCAGGCAUCUCCCACUGGUCCGGCACUUGCUACGAGACCCGGUACCAAUACCCAUACCUUCCGCAAAGUGCUGCAGCAAUGCACGAGUGGCAGCGGGGACAGACGAAGUGAGCACCAGGAGUCCCUAGUCACGGAUCCAUAUGCCGGUCGGUGGUGGCCGUGUUACGGUUGCUUCACCCUCGCAUGCUUGGAGUGCAGUAUUAUAAUGUGCUUCAUGCGGAAGGUUAGCCUUGGGCUGAUGAAGAAAGAAAAGUUUUGUAGACAGAGAAAGGAGGACUAAGAGGCUGAUCCUGCAUCCGCUGAAAUUCUGCACCCAGGGACAAAGCACCCACUGAUCUAAACGAUGCAGAAACAUCACGAGUGGGUAGAUAUUAUUCUGAACCCCACAAAUCCCUUCCUGCCUCUUUUAACUCUCACUGAACCCAGAUGUUUUACUAUCCCUCUUACACUGAAGCAGAAAGGAAUGGACCAGGGUUUAAAAUAUGUCUGAAAGCUGAGAAGUAGAGGGGCACCUUGAGGCUCCAGAUCACCUGAGCUAAUUUCUUGUUUUCAGACUGCAUAAACAGUCUGGUAGCAGGGAAGCGGGGGAAUGCUCUGCCUUUGAUCUGCAGGCUUCCCAGAUGACAACUCCCUUGGCGUUAUCUUCCAUCCUGGUUCUGAGAAGACAAGCUCGGUUCACUGAUACUGCUGAAGGGCAUGUAAACUGCAGCACAGAUUCCAGUCCGAUUCAGCAAAAUAGUAUGAUCCCCAGGACAGGAGUCACACAGGUCCUUAGCAGGCCUGGAUGGAUUGUCAGGAGUUGAAUCUGGAGUCUUCUCUAUGGCCAGACUUCUUCAGGACAAUGGGCCUGCAGCUAUAAUGGUGAAUUCUCACUGCUUUGAAAAAAAUUGAGGGAAUGUUCUACCAGUAAAAGUUCAGAGAAUUAAGCUAUAAGUAUAGAUAGAUUGGACCUCCCCGCCUCUGUUCUUAUAUAGCUGUUUUCAUCAGUCAUUCUCAAAGCACUUUUCAAAGGAGGACACUAUCAUUCAUUAGUUGUUCAGCACUUGCAUAUUUCUUUAUUCCUUCAAAGCACCUCAGACAUUCAACCACCCUCAUUUUACCCAGGAAAAAGAGUGUAAAUUAAUGCUAUGACCCUCAUUUUAGAGGUGGGGAAACAAAAGCACUGAUAUUUAAGAUUUCUGGGUGGAUUCCUCUCUCUGCUUCGGGACCUGUUCCCUUGGCCUCUGCCUGGCUCUGGUUUCUGUGGGACAUGCCCCAUUGUCUCAGCUUUGUUAACUCUGCAAUUUGGCUGACACCUGUGCUUGGGGGAGCCAUUUCAUGUUCCUAGUGCAGCUUUAUUAAAACAAAAUAAAUUAUGCUAAGUAAAACGCUCACAGAAGCGAGGCAGACAUUAUGAGGUAAAAUUGCUGGCACAGCAGGGGUUUCCGCUCCGGUAUAGCUUUGACCACAGCCACUUCAGCUGCAAAUUGUGUUCUCCCCCUCAUCAAAAUUAAAACGGGGAGUGUUAAAACCCUAUUUUUUCAGGCCAAGAAGUAAACAGACAUGGCUUCUGGGGAAGAACUGGUGACUGCCUGAAUAAAAGAGAGCUUCCCACCAUGAGACUUGUACUGCUGGGCCUUGCAGAGGGUAGGAAAGGUCUGGAGAAGAAACCAGUGUCCCACUGUUUGGUGCCAUCUCUGAACCAGCUAACAUUUUUUCCAAACUUGAAAUGGUUCUCGCGCCUUUCUUCUCCUCCCUUCCCCUCUUUUUCUUGUUAAUACUUAGCACUUACAAAAUGUUAUAUAGGCAUUACCUAAUUGACCCUCAUAGCUAAGAUAACCUAAUUUAUAGAUGCACAAAUUCAGACAAAGGAGUCAUGAGAUGUGCCCCAGACAGAAGUGGAGGCAGUGUUAGAGCUGAGCAGAACCCAGAUGUUCCUGGUUUUAAUGCACAGAUAAUUAGACCAUGUCUCUCCCUUUCUAUGGACAAUGCUGUAGACACACAUUUUUCUUUAUCACAGGAUUGAUGGAUGCUUUUGUUCAUUUGAUGGGUAGAGUUGUGUAGACUUCUAACAGGCUCCAUUCCCACUCCUCUCCCCUCUCUUUCCUCUGUGUGUGUUUGGCACAGCAUGUCCAUACACAUAUUUUUUUGCAUUCAUGGACCUUUUCCUUCAUCUCAGUCUUCCACCUAGCAGGCAGGGAUACUUCUUACCCCAGGGCUGCAUUUUUACAAGAUCAGAUUCUCGCUUUUUGCAAUGGAAUGAAAGUGGCCUAACAGAUACGUCUCAUCAAACCUGCCCAGUGGCUGAGGUGUCCUAUGUGCUCACCCAGGAGGGAGCUUAAAGCAGGGGAAAGGAAGAAAUUCUUGUCUAAAUAUCAGUGCUGAUAUUUAGUCUCUACAUUUCUACGAGUCGGGGAGGAUUUCAGAUAUGUGACUUUGAACUGUCACUCAGGUUCCUCACAUGGGCUCUCUUCCUUCCUUUUUUACUUCACAAAGUGAGGCUGUUUGGAAAUGCGAGAGGCCAGGAGUUGGGGGCAGGAACAGCAAUGUUUCAGGUUGACCUUUAGGGAGUACUGGCAACUCAGUAGGUGGCACUCUUGUCUCUGAGACAGCUAUGGGGACAGGGGCUGCUCGGCUGUUGGAGGUGAUGUCCUUCCAAAUGAGACGUAGCUGCCUGUGGUUAUUAAAAAAUUACUUUAUGCACAGGUUGGGGUUAACCCAUGAUGAAAUGGCCUGUGCUGUCAACACCAAAUUGUAGCAGUUUAUCGAUCAGGCUGAUGCUUUCAUUUGAGGAGUAUGUUCCUCAACCUGUGUCCUAGCAUUGUUACAUGCUGCUGAAACAUGGCUCAGUUCCACCCCAGUAGUCGCUGCAUUUCAAUGACGGAUUAAUUGAACUGUCUGUUUUCCUCUGUAUCUCCCUGAGAGAGGAGUUGUAAGGUUUUAAUUAUUUACAACUGGCAGAGUCAGAUUCUUGGGAGAUAAGUAUUAGAGGAGUGUGAAGCAUCAUAUGAUAAUGUUGUGCAGCAAAGCAUCUGCAUAAUCAAACCAAUCUGCCAAGGAUCUGCACUUUCUUUUCUCCUUUUGCCUUUCCCUAGCUCCUUCCAUUUGACAGCCACAGAGUAUUUAGCCAACAUUAAUGAAUUAAGGUAGGUAGGAGAUAUAUGAGCCCUUCAUAUAUGAUAUAUAUCACUUCAUCCACUGCUAUAAUCAACAGUGGUUUGCCAGCUUGGGGCAGUGCUACUUUGCAAUAUGGACAGCAAGGAUGUAUGUACUGCACUUGGGAGUGUAUGUGCAUGUCUUCCCUAGCUUUAGUUUACAUAGCUAGGGCACCAGGGUAGGCUCAGGCCUCAGAGUGGGCUAUACAAAACUCCUUGGGGACCAUUGGUGUGGGUAGUACCUCAAGUCCCUGCUUCCCCAGCUUCCCUGCUGUGGGUACUUAAGCUAGCUGGAUCAGAGCUAAGUCACCUAAGUCCUUCUGUGUUGCAGGCAACUUCCCCACAGGUGCAGAGAAAGAGACAUAGAUGAUAGCAAGUGCAGUGAUCAUCUGUGUAACUAGAUUGCAAUUGCUGAUGUUGGCAGUGGAUCAGGACACAGAGAUUAAUUUACAAUGCUAAUCAAAAAUGCCUUGGGCUCUUCCAUGCUGGAUCAUUGGUUCCCCACCAACUAGAGGGAAGAUCCCAGUUGGUUAAUUGCUGGGGCUGCUCAUUGGGCAAGGAAGAAGUCCCACCCAAGCAGUCCAGUCCUACUUAGCUCUUGAGAUCUGCAGAGAAUCCUGGCAGAAGAUCAAACAGCUGAAAGCAGGGUGUUGUGUGUGGUGCCGACAAGUGCCACAGCAUACCGAACAUAGCAGCAGCCACAGCCAUCUGCAGUUUGCUGUCACCAGUGUUUCCUUAGAACUUCUGCCAUUGCAAGACACUCAUGUUCUGGGGUGUCUGUCUCUUCUCUCUCACUCUAAGAUUCACUUUGUCAACCGGAGUUUUCCCCAGGGUGAAAAAGAAGAGGAAAAGAUGUAGAUGCUGACUGUAUGAGUUGAGGAGGCCUGAGGAUGAGUUGUUGAGACAGGGAAGGGGCAAAAAGGGAAAGGCUGAGGCAUGUUAGAAGGAGACCAGCCAGGUUGUCAUUUUGGACAUUUGCACAUCUCUAGGCAGUAAAUCAGGCCAUUCGCUGAAGCUUUGUGGGUAACAUUUGUGCAUUAUAAUGUUUACAUGAUAUCUCAAAACACUGAGCAAAGCUGGAAACUAGGUUUUAGUUCCACUACUUGGCACUGAGAUGUGGGAUCUGAACCCAAAGUAGAAAGAGGGCUGAGCUUCCCAAGCUGGGGUUAGCCAUGAGACACUACAGUGCUGUGCAUGGCUAAGGCAAGAGAGAUGCAAUUACACUGGAUUGCAGUAUGACUGCCCUGACUUUGUUAUCUGCCAGUCUCGUUCAGCCGUGCUUUAAGGGCUGUGCCGGAAAAUGCCUCCAAGAACCACAAUAGGUCUUGGUACACCUGAGAACCAAACAAGGCUGUGUGAUCUACAAGAGUUUACAGGACAGCUGGUAACCAAGAAGUGCCUGUGUUUCCUGCCCAUGAACAUAUCUCAUUACAGCCUUCUGAAUACACAGCAUUUUCUCAGAAACCAGCCUGAGGGACAAUUAUACAUUAAUAGCUGCUUCUUUCAGAAGCAGCCAGCCCCGCUCCUGAGAAACAGCUAUUUUCAGGCAGCCCUGUUCCUGAGGAGAUGCUAUUUUUAGUGAGGUCUAUUUCUGAGAAAGAAGCCAUUUCUUUAUCCCGAAACCAUGGCCCAGACCCACUAGCUGUGGCUGACUUUCUUUCUGCAAUAAAUGUUUCCUCUUUACAUCUCUGUUGCCUGGAGAAAGUGGUUCUUCAGCCGCUACGCAAAGCAGCACUCUGAAUGAGACCUAAUUAUGCAGACAGAGGAGUGGUGGGAGGUAAAUCCAGGCGCAUGUACCACAGAUUCCACUAAUGUUCAGAGCGCAAUGUAACAGUUCUCUCCUGGAAGAGAGAGGCCUAAUUUGGAAGUCCUUCUUGAUCUCCGUUUACAACAUACCAAGCAUAACGAAUAACCCUGCACUUGGGGUUUCUCUGAGUCAAUAUACUGCUGUAGUAAAACCACGCUGCACCUGGGGAAGACAUCAGUGCUCUGCUCUGGGUAAGUUAUUUGAAGCAACAGGCAUCCCAUUUUCACAGUCAUUAACCUGUUGCACAUGCACAUUCAAACUGAGAUUCAAGAUUCAAACUGGGAAUCUGCAAUGCCUCAGUGAAAGCGCCUCCAUCAGUGCAUUGCAGUAGACCUGUCUAAUACACUUGGGACCUGCUACCGCUCCUCAUUGAGUUAAUGGGAACUGUGAGACAUUGCCUUGAGCUACCGGCCUAUAAUAUAAUUUUGUAUGAUAGAUGAGCUUAUAUUAUUAUACCAGUCAGGCUUCUUAUUUGCAGAGCUAGCUCAAAAGCUGGUGGCCUGACAUGAGAGCAAAGCAAGAGUGAAGCUGUGCUAAACUUCAGCAGACCUGGUGCUUCUCAGGUCUUAUAGGAUCAGAAGAAAUCAGGACUAGACGGGCCCUCAUAUGGUCAUCUGGUCCAGCCCCCUGCUCAAGGCAAUCUCAGUUGGAAACAGCUCUUUUUGUAUCUACUGCCUGCAGCAGCUAUGUGGCUGAAAGCAGCAUCGGGGAAGAUGAGAUGUUGGAGCCAUAUUGGACAUGGGUUUGUGGACAUUGAUCAGUAUUUCCAUGCUCAGGAGCUUGGCCUGUGAGCAGUCUUCCCCUAUCUGCAUGAUGUAUUCUAACAGCCCCCAUCCCUCACCCCGAGUGCCUAACCCUGCCCAGAUACCCUGGCGGGUGGCUGCUCAGUACUCAGUCCUGUUCAUCACCAUUCUGACCAGGCUUCUGGUCCCACAAGCUUCUGGUCUCACUGCUGCAUGAUCUCUGUUUCCAAGAGUUUCUCUGUUUCAUUCCUCCUGUGCCUUCCGUACCUCCCAGAUUGCAACCCAUACUAGAAGAAAAGAUUCUUAAAGAGCUCUUUCCAGAACCACCCAUCCUAGCCUUUAAACAAGCACUGAACCUCACCAACCUCAUCACCAGAAGCAAAAUUCCCAUGGCCCAAAGCACACCAAAUGGAUCCAGACCAUGCUGGGACAGGAAAUGUAAAACCUGACAACACAUCACCACCACUCCCACAAUAACUAAACGCCACAGCACAACUAUCACCGUUCCUGGAUCUUCCACCUGCACCUCCAGGAAUGUAACAUAUCUCAGCCAGUGCAUGGAAUGCCCUGAUGGAAACUACAUAGGAGAAAUGAAACAAUUGUGUACCAGAAUGAAUGCACGCUGAAAAUCUAUCAAAGACAAGAAUACCCAGCUACCUGUGGGUGCACAUUUCUCACAAGACAACCACUCUCUCCCCAGUCUCUCAGCUCUAAUCUUCAAAGGGAAUUUACAAAACACCUUUCAAAGAUGAGCCCAUGAACUUCACUUCAUAAAUCCACUGGAUACAAAAAACAUGGACUAAAUAUAGACAUUGGAUUUGUGGCACAUUAUAACCUGCCUGCCAUCCAAUAACCCCAGGUAACCUCCACAUUUUACCGGCUACAUUUUAUCACUGUGUCUUUUCCCCUCCGACCUACCUGUCUUGCACCCAUUAACUCCCAUCCCCUCUGAUCUUCCCUGCCACACACGUGCAUUUUCACGGCUUUGCAUUUAGCAUAUUGGCUUAAGCAUCUAUUCCACCUAAGAGAGCACACAAUCAUUAGCAGACACUCCCUAUGCCUGAAGAAGGGUGUUUGUGCCCAAAAGCUUGUAAAGAACAUUUUUUUCCAACUAUUGAGUUGGUCUAAUAAAAAAUAUCACAUUUACCCAAAGAACCUUGUCUGCCUUCCAUACCUCCCUGAAUUCUGUACCUCUCUGGCAUUUCCAAGAAAUGCUUUUGCGGUCUGCAGCAGUGUCCAGGUUCUCUGGCUCCCAGGCAGGACGGCUGACACUUCAGAUCUUGAAGCAGAGAACUACUUUCAGAGAGGUAAAGAGGAAACAUUUCUUGAAGAAUGAAAGAAAAAGUCCAUUAUGUCUUUUUAAAUAGCUGUAGAGAAUGGAUCUUCAUCCUCCCAAAUUAUUUCUGCGCUACAGGGUCACAACUUGUAGCUUUCAGCAUUGUUGGCAAAUUGUUUGUGAGUUUUGGUGUCCAGACAUUGUAGACAAAAAUGCAUCAUGACACCAGUUGAUGACAUCUGGCCAGUUCUUUUCUUUUUAUCUGUUUUCUUUAUAAAUAAGCUUUUAAAACAUUUCCCAGUUUUAGUGGACAAGUGGAAAGUUAUCUGGUGUCACCAUAUUAGUGAGAGAAGAGAUUUGAAGGGUGUCUUUUGUCAGCAUGGACCACAUGUUCUUCCCUGUACCACAACCCGUGGAGGACAUAAACAUUUUGAUCCCUGAAUGUCCCUUCUCGACAGCUUCCAUGGUGGGGGGCUAGCAAGGACAGAACAGAUGUCUGGUGUUUUCUAACACUGAUGAGCACUGUCCACUCCAGGGGCUGUAUAACUUGCAUGCAAUUUUCCAGCUUUGUUUUUACAUGAGUUUUCUUGACUUAUAAUCCAUGAAUCUCGUGCUUAUGCAGAUCAUAACAAUGUACCUUUAAGCUCAGGUAACAGCUCCUGAGAGCUCUUCAGACCAUGGAGUUGUAAUUAGAAUGGCUUAGGCAACAUGGCCAGUUAGUGUUAGUGCUUGGCUUGUACUUCUUCAACAUUUCCUUCCCACUUUGUCACCAUCCUGGGAUGUAUGCAGCAGGAGGGGGGUGAGAGGGAAAGGGGCACUAACUGCUGUGUGAGCUCCUUCCAUGGCUUCUGCUCUAAACUGGAACCACUCAUGCUCAGGGCAAGCCCAAACCCUCCCCAAUGUCAUACUUGUGGUCACCUCCCUGAAAUCAUAGAAUCAUAGAAAACGAGGGUUGGAAGGGAGCUUGGGAGGUCAUCUAGUCCAACCCCCUGCUCAAAUCAGGACUAGCCCCAACUAGAUCAUCUCAGCCAAGGCUUUGUCUACUUGGGUCUUAAAAAUCUCCAAGGAAAUCCCUUCCACUGUAUCCCCAAACAUCUCUUAAAGCAAUAAUAAAGAUGGCAUUCAGCACCUGGGCUCUGGUUCCACCUCUGAGGACGCAUCAGGAGUUUGCCAUCAAGCAGGUCCCUGGAGACAUUACUUAGGACAUCUGUAGGAUCUCCCCAUUUGAUCAGCUGGCUGCUCUGGCUUGCCAUGGAUGGAAGCAUCAUAAUGGCAAUCCCAUAUUGGGAUCCUGCUGCAACAGCCUCUUCUCCCUCUUCACUGUAAAGUAGAUCCCAGGGAGAAGAAUGGAUUGGUAUUUGGAGCACUGACAGUGAUCCCCCCUGUGAGCUCUGCACAGUAGGGACAUGAAGCUAGAGCAUGGCCAGACCUCUGCUUUGCAUCCACUGCCUUUGGGUAUCACUGCUCAGGGGGCUCGAUAGGCUCCAGCCCUGCAGACUGGUCUGGGGAAUGCAUUUUGAUAGUGGAUAUUCCAGGCGCUGUGGCCAGAAGCUGGGGUGGGGGGUGCUGUACUCCCUGCAGGCAUUAACCAGACCCCGCAUAUGCUGCUCUGGUGUCCGGGACUCACCCUUGGCUUGGUGCAGUGAGCAUCAGCUGGCAGUCAGGAGCUGGUAGGGGCCAUCCUAGUCGCUUGGAGUAGUCCGUAAAGAAAAUGAGGGCUUCAAUGCUGACCUGGGAGCUAUCUGGCUUGCAGAGAAUAGAAGGAGAUGUGCAGAAGAGUCCAGAACAGGGAACUGUGGGAAUGCCAGUGGAGGACUGCCUGUAGUGGAGCUCUGCAAUUCAGGAGACACACCAUGAUGAUGGUGUUGGGUCAGGUGGUUUCACUGUAUCUGGAAGGGGAGAUCCCCUUCCCAGGCUUGAAUGACUUGGUGUAGUUGAGGGUGGAGACCUGUCCAUUGCACAGUGGACAGGCCUCCUAUGAGAGUCUACUAUAGCCUCCCAAUGGGAGGAUCUUGGCUUCACAAUAUAUGGCAAUGGGGGAUUGCUCUCAGGGUUUCUUUCUAGCUUGCUCCUAUGGCCUUUUGGCUAGGGACAAGCGAGAGUAGGGGGUACCUGAACCCCAAGGCCUCCGGGCUUGGGGCUUGCACAUAGGAUACCUCCCAUGGAUUUAGGAGUAUUGGAAGCUCCCGGAGGGAAGAUAUUUGCCAAUGGUAGCGUCACUCAGAUUUGAACGACUGAGCUCCACCCGGUUGAUAGAACUUGGAACUGAUUUGGCUGAUUUGGCCAAAGACACAAAAUUUAAAAAAAAAAAAGCUCUGCUGUAACCUCACUGCAGAAUGGCCACAUAAAGAGGCAAAGUAGUGGCUAAGGGAGGCACAUACCCUGAACUCAGGCAGGGCUUGUGCUCCUGGGUUAUACUCACUGCAGGAGAUGAGUGUAAGGAUUUUUGGCAUGGAUGGCUGGGAGGUACAAGCAUUAACACAUGCCCGAACCUAUGGCCUAUUAUCCAUGUAGACAUACCGUUGGUUUAUGAGGCAGAUGUCAAUAAUCCUGGGAUCUCAACUAGUGAGUUUGAAUUUCUUGGCUUCUUCCUGGUGCUGUAGCUCUGAGCAUUGGCAAGUCUCAGAUAGUCUGUCCCCUGCCGGAGAAUAUAACUAGAAGGGAGCAUGUGCACAUGCAUAUGACACUCACCUCUUCUAGAGAGCAACAGAACUGCUGGUGUGACUAAGCUAGUGGUGUUCAUCCUAUAAAUAGCCUCAUCCAGGCCAGAAUUUCAGGCUCCACCAGUCCUGAGUCCAAACCCAAUGUAUUCUUUUAAUGCAGCAUUUUUCAUUAGGCCCAUUAAGUUCAACCCCAAACCAAGCCAGAUGGUGGUUUUCCAAAAUACAGGCUCUUUCCAGGAUUUGACUAGGGUUUUACAGGGAUUUAGAUGCCAUCACACAGCGAGACAGGAGGUCGGUCAUGUUUGCUGUACAGUCACAGUUGGCAUUUCAUUUGCUCUGGGCUAGCUACCAUCCCAGUACCGACACUACAGUGCUAAUAUUGGCAGCAGGAAAUGGAUCAUUUCUACCAGAACUGUGUCUGUUGCUUUUAGUGGGAUGGUUCUGACCUUAAUAGUGCUGUAACAAAAUAUAUCUAUAAAUCUUCAUUCCACUGGAAAAUUGCUCAGUGGCCUUCCACACAACAAGAGCCCUUGAGAGGGCUGCCUCUUUGGCCUCAAUGAAAUGUGAAGAAGCAGCUUUGACUGUGGUGGGAGCAUCUCAUCCCCACUGCUUGCCACAGGCUAUGCUGACACAUCUGAGCUCCUGGUUCUCUCAACAUCACAGGGGGUAAUGGAGCAAAUCCUGAGCUUGUCCCAUAAGGGGAAGAGGUUUCCCUAGAUCUCAUGAAUGAUACAUAAUGGGAAGCCCCUUUGGAAGUAAAACAUUUCCCUGAAUACACUGAGAUUUCUACCAGAAAGCCUAGGUAAACAGGGUAUAGGAAGAAAAAGGGCUCAACCUUCUGCUGCCACACCAGCCGGGUCACCGUGAUGUGACAAAGAGCCUGCCGCAGCCACCCUGCCAGAGGACAAUGGGACCAGGAGGCUGGAGUGCUUUGUAAGGGGAGGUGGUAGCCGGGAAGAAAAAUAGAUAAAAAGAAGGAGAAAGGCCAGGAAAUGUCAUGGAGCUAGUGAGAUGUGAAUGCCGGCAUCAGGGCAUUUAAAUGUCAGGAGAAAAGGAAAUCGGCAAGUCGAGGUGGGAUGGAUUUUAAUUAAAGCAUUAGAGCUGAAGAGGAAAUGAAACCCACUUGCCAAGCAAGCUCCAAAGCCUUUCUGUGCAAAGGACUUGACUUUUGUUUGCCUUACGAUGCCUGUGUUAUGAGAGAGGGAAGGCAGCGGGGUGCUAGGCUGACAUGUUGAGAAAUGCCACCUUUGGGAACAUCAGCAUGCAGAUACAUAUGUGAGCAGCUGUGUGACACCUGCACCCACCCCUGGGUGUGCACAGCAGGAGCUCCUGAAAGCCAGGCCCAGAUGCCAGCAGAAGGUGGUUAAUAAACUCCCCUGACUGCUACAGCAAAGGCCUUAUCCCUCAUUUCCUCGCAGCGCACUUAUAUCGUGUGUCACUUUUCAUAGAGGCAAGAGUACUCACACUGUGCAAGCACCUCCCAGCUCUGUUAAGCACAUGGGUUGCUUGCACAAUUUCCAUGCAUUUGUGUGAGCAGAGUGUCUCCCCCCACCCCCAUUACAAAAAUACAUUUGAAAUCAAUUUAGGAGGCAUUCCUGAUGAAAGUGCUGCAAGGGACCUCGGUAGUGAUGCUAGUCAUUCAGGCACUGGUCUGAUCUUUGGUGCAUAUCACAAGUUGCUUUGAUUUACAGUGGCUCCAUGGGACAGUUUCAGCAGCUGGGUAAUCUGCUGGGCAUAAGGGAGCCCUGGCCAUGCCCCUUCUUUUCCCAGUCAGACCGUCCACAUCAUCGGCAAAGGGGAGAUCAGUGCAGAAGCGGCUCUCCAGCUCUCUAUCACCAGAAGAGUCUCCCGCUCAAGAAGGGCUCAAUGAUAGGUGAACUAGAUAUUAUUAGUACAUAGCUGAUGUGAGUGCCAUGUUAUAGGAGACACUCCUGGUCAAGUGAUGAAGGCACAGUGUUGAGGUGAUGUGAACAAGGACUGAGGGCUCUGCGUAACCCAUAUCCUUAAGGGCAUGUCAAAGGUGUGACUACACUACAGUGUGUGUGACCAUCAGUUAGCAAGGGAAGGGUACCCACUGCAAGGUAGCCGUGCCAACUCAUGCUCCAACCACCUGGGGUCCUGGGUGAAUUCAACUGUUCAGCUCUCACUAAGGUCACCUGUGCUACAGGUAUACUGCAACAAAUACCCACACUGAUGCUAGCUCAGGCAUGUCUUUAUGAGCUGCAGUCCUGCUCCUGGAUUGUUCUGUAGGCAUUUUGCACAAGCCGAAACUCCCAUGCAGGCAUUGUGAUCGCUCUUCUACUGCUUCACCGCUGAGUGCUGGCUCACAAAUGUGCCUGUUUACAUUCACGGCCACACUACACUGUCACCCUUCUCUCGGUCUGCCAGUCUACCAGAAGGACCCAGUCAACUGAUACAGCACAAGCACGAUUAAAAAAUAGAAAGGGAAAUGGUCUUCAGACUUGUGUUCCCCCUGCAGUUAUUCCUAGAGCUUCACUUGUGAUCACCUAGAAACAUCACAUCGCCCACUCUUGCUCAGUACAACAGUGGAGUGUGCUGCAGGGUAUGCUGCAAACAUGGAUCUGUGCUGCCCCAUUACACACCACCCUGCUGCAUCCAUACAGAAAUGCUGCCAUCAGAUCAUUUCAACUGAUCAGAGUAGCAAAAAAAAAAAAAAGACUCCUAAAGCCCCAGAUACCAAAUUAAUAAGAAUAAAAGCAUGUAGGUGAGAAUUAAGAAGGCAUUAACAUUCUGAUGGCAUCUGCUGACUGAAUUAAACUACAAAAAUGAGUUCAGCUGAAGCUCAGGAUCAGGACAAAUAGUUCUCAGAUGGAAAUUACAGUGAUUUUUCAAAUCAUGCACAAAAGAACGCAUUUUUAGGACAUUUUUGCUUGCAAAGUUUUUUCUCCACGUGGAGAGCUAAGGCUCGGCUCAAGAGGCUGUGCGGUGAGAUGAUCUAGACACAAUCGGGUCCUGUCUCUACCAUCAAGACCAAGCUGGCUUGGGUUUGGGGAGGGGUGCAGCUUGAGCUAUAACUCAGUUUCCCAACAAGUCUGAUUAACAUAGAAGGAGGACAGUUCUGCUGUCACAUUUGAAAGCCAUUUCAUUCAUAGCUAUGACACAACCUAGUACGGACCCAGCGGGAGAGGAGGGGAACAGCUUUAUGAAAUGAAGGAGGCCCAGAUUUGCAAAGAAGGUGGAUGCAUGAUUAUGUGGGUAAUUAUGCACAUCACUGACACAUGCCGAUACGGUGAUUGCUAAUAGCGAGCACAAAUACCAGGCAGCUGAGCAUGUAACUGCCUGAGCUGCAAGCACACAGGUUGGGUAUGCUUACCCGCUGGGGAUGCCCCAUUGAGCACCAUAACAAUAGGGCCUUUGUCUCGCAGCACAGGUCUGAUCUCAGAAGCAGGGUGCAGAGAUAGCUGGUGUGAGCCAGGUCAGAAUGGAUCCUCAUCAGACACUAAUUAAUUUGUUCUGCUCUUUGAUGAGCUGUAAAAUACCCUCCUUUCCUAGAAUUCUGCCCUGCUUUUAUCCUGCAUUCUCUCCUGAAGCAGUAAAAGGAGAAGGUGCUGAUAAUGACCCCCGCCCCCCAGUUGUGAUAAAAGCCAUCAGGGUCACUAGGGACUUUGCUCUUUUUCUGUCAGGAGCACAAAGCUUGUGAGGACUUGGAGAGAUUGCCCAACGAAGAACAGCUUUUCCCAUAGUUUGGAGAAUCUAGGGCACCCUAGAAAAACAAAUUGCUCCCAUUAGGGGGUUGCAGUGAAGACCUUUUGUAGACAGGGCUCAGACGUGGGGUCAGACUGUUCGACUCUAUUGAUGCUGUACAUACAACACUUGACCCUAGAUCAUGACAAGGCCUUGCUUGGGAUAGAGAGGUCCAUGUCACUCACAGCUCAGCCGAUGCAAAUCUAUCACGUCUUCUCUAAUGUGGAAAGCAAGAGCUUUUCUUUCCCUGUUUUCAUCACAGAACCUCCUUUCUCCAUCCAGAGUCAGUAAAAGGGAUGUUCUGAGCUAACAGUGCCAUCAUCAAGCAGACCUGGGUGGACAGGGAAGCCUUGUUGCAUAUCCAAUAGCCCAGCCCAAGGGCAAAAGCAAAGCUUCCUGAAUCUCCUGUUGAAUUCGGAUCAUAAAAUUCUGCCACAGGAUAUGUACUGAUGGCUGAAUCUUUACUGAGAAAGCCCCUCUGAAGGCCUUUCAGUGUUCAAAGGGAUACAUUUAUUCUCCCUUUUGCUGGCUUACAAGUCCAUUGAGAUCUAGGAAAUUUCUAUUCCCAUAUUACACUUCUCUAACAGCAGUCGCACUUGUCAUGUCCUUUCAGAUGUCUCCUAUGUUUCCCAAUGCUCUGACUUCCUGCAACAUGCACAACGAGUUCUCCUCCACACCUCUUUUCUCUGUGCCCCUGUCUAUACUGCAAAACUGCUGAGACCUGGCUGCAGCACUGGCUGGGGAGGGAAAGUGAGGACAAGGAACUGAAUGUGCGGGAGAUGAGACUGCAACUUGUUGGCCUAGGACAGUAGGAUUGAGAGGAGAAGCCCAAGGAUGGGAACUGGUACUGGUUAACUGAGUAGACAGGGAGUACAAUGAUGAGAAAAGCAUGGGGCAGGGUUACUACAUGAUGAUUAGGCGACUUUAAUUCAGCCAUUACCUAGCUACAUUUGAUCUGAGCCUUCAAGAGGCCGAGAAGCGAUACUACAUGGUGCCUGACUUGGCACCCCAAUACCAUUUUGUGAGUGUGUUCCAGCUCUGUCACUUCAUCCACCAGAGGCAGAUUGCAGCCACCUCCAAGGCAGAGCUUCACGGCAACACUACGCUGUAAAUAAUACCUUUUUCAUCUGAAACUGCGAGAGGAAUCCUCUGUAGGUGGAACACGCUCAUUUUUGGUGCUGGAACUAGGCCAGAACAGUGGGCUUACACAAUUACGGCAAAUGCAAUAGGAUCUUGAAUGACCGCAGCUGGUCAGGACUUUACUCAGUAUUGAACCAAUGCCCCGACACAAUAACAAUGAAGACUAAAACGGAGGAAAAAGAAUUGCACCUAUUGAAUCAUCAGUGCCACUUCCUACAACCCUUCCCCGAAUUUCCUGCGGGGGUCUCCUGUCUGCAUACAACCCUAGACCUACCUGGCUCACGUGAUGCAUGUCUGCCUUCCAGCCCAUGACAACGGUACUCGGGUAUUUAUGUCACAUAUGUUUUGUAUGCAUCAAAUCAUAUCAUUAGGGCCAUGUCUAAAACACAGAGUCAAGGAGGGCCUCUGUGAGCUUAUCACAGCUAAAACAAACAGGGAUUAUAACCGUUUUGAGAUGCUUUAGGUUGUUUCCAAAGGAUACAGGCAAUAAAAUGAACAUGGUGUGGAGAGACUGCUCAUACAUCUCUGCUGGGAAGAGCGGAAGAACUUGCAGGCUCAUAAUUUUGGAUGGCAACUGCAUUUCUGUUUUGAUUUCAGACUGCAUAACGCACCCUUGGAGACCGGUGCAGCAAAUGUUACAGAUGGAAGGAGGCUUUGUGUGGGCCCAAAAUUAAUAAAGAGAAAGCUAAGAAGUGAGCUGGCAAAUGAAGAACCUUAUGAACAGGCCAAUAUGUGUGCUAAUAAAAGUGCCCAGUUCCCAAACAGUUUCUCAACCACACCACUGAAGUACACACCCUUCUGGCAGGAGAGAAGAUGGGAGCACAUACUUUUGGUUAUACUUGCUGGCCAGCUGGCUACGCUGCUGGUUAGGGAGCCGGACUGAAUGUCAUGGUGUCAGGAAUAAAGAGGGGAACUGAAGUGACUGUGACUCUGCAGUGGCAUCUGGUGCAACUUUUUAUGUUAUGACUAAAUUCCCAUUUCCAGUCAGGUGCAGCCAGUGUAGUUUUUGGUCUGGAAAUCAGGAGGUUAUCUUAUCCCAGCGGUUAGAGAGAAGUUGAGGCUUCCAAACUGGAAGGCAGUGGAGAAAGAAACUCAGAGAUCUGAAACCUUAUAAUUUUGUCUCUAACACAUUUAAAGCCCAGUUUUCAUAAGCAGUAUCUACAGUUGCAUGCCAGCAUCAUAAAUGUGAAUUUGCAUCCUCCAACCUUCCACCUUGCCGGAGCUGAUCUAAGCCGGUGGGUAUAUACAGACACACCAUCUCUAAUGCUAUGGGCUUCUGAGUAUGGGCAAAUUCAUACUGAGCCCAUGGUAAGUCCCCUUCUGAAGUGUGAGCCCCUAUAUGAUUUUGGGGAAAAAACGUGGCCCAUGGAGCCUCACUGUGAAGUUGCCUUUCCAGGGAGAUGGCUCAAGCUUUCCCCCCGCUGCGUUAUGUGAAGCACAUUGUGGUGCAUUGCAUCCGCUGUUACUUUCUGUGGAUCUGCUUGGGUCUGUGCAAUAGGGCUUCAGUGAGGCAGCAGUGAAGCCUAUGAAGAUGAAUACAGACAACCCUGCCUGGAAAGCUGGGACUAAGGGGCUGAAGAUAGGGGAGCAGUAUGCAAAUUAUGAAUUCAUUUGUGCAAAUUAAAAAUAUCCAACCCUUUCUGGAUUCAAGCUGGCUUCCACAUGCAGUUGCAGCCCUUUAUAUCUAUUGCAUGGAGACAACAGCUGCUAUUACGCGUCCAGAGGCUGCCUCUCACCAUGGCAUCUAGACUCCAUUGCAAUACACAGCAAUUUGCAUCACACACUUACGUACCUCAGGAAAUAAGCACAUGCUACCAUUAACCAACUCCAGCUUUGAUUGAGUUGCUAGAGGGAGUAAAUCUCAGAAAGAGAAGACUCUUCACAGGCAUUGCCUUGCUGCAUCCCUAAAUUCCUAGACUCAUAGAAAAUGAGGGCUGGAAGGGACCUCAGGAGGUCAUUUAGUCCAACCCCCUGCUCAAAGCAGGACCAUCCCCAACUAGAUCACUCCAGCCAGGGCUUUGUCAAACCGGGUGUUAAAAACCUCCAAGGAUGGAGCUUGCACCACCUCUCUGGGUAACCUGUUCUGCUGCUUUACUACCCUCCUCAUGAGAAAGUUUUUCCUAAUAUCCAGCCUAAAGCUCCCUUGCUGCAACUUGAGACCAUUGCUCCUUGUGCUAUCAAUUCAGUCCCCUUACAAGACAAGGGGUUUUGGGCUCAUGGCAGCUGCCAGGUGACAUAUCCAAGAGUUAGUCUAGAAAUAGAAGAGGUAGAGGAGAGUUGUGCGACUCAUUACCCCUGUGAGUUGAGGGUGGCAGGGGACAGGACUGAUGUUCAGUCUCAUGCUCAAGCACCCCUAUAUCUGCCUCCCUCCUUGAAAAUCAUGAUCUACAUCAGGGAUCAUUAUUAUUAGAGUGGGUCAGAUGAUUCAUUCUUCAUGUUCAGUGUGGAUUUGGCCCUAUCCUUUGUUUAGGAAUAGUUAGAAUCAUAAUAGGAAAGACAAGCUGGCAGGGUCCGUAGAAGGUCAUCUAGUUCAGCCCCCUGCUCAAGGCAGGAUCAUCCUCACCUAAACCAUCCCAGACUAGCGUUUGUCUAAUGCGCCCUUGAAAAUUCCCAAGAAUCGAGAUUCUACAACCUUUCACGGUACUUGUUCCAAAGCUUGACCACCCUCUUAGUGAGAAAGUUUUUCCUCCUUUCCAAUCUCAGUUUCCUCUGCCAUGACUCCAUCCUGAAUUUGUAGACGUAUUCACCACUGUUUCAAUGAACAGUCACUCCACUGUUCUCUGAACUGUUCUCUUUGCUUUUGAUUGUGGGGCAAGUAAUAGGUCAUCUCCGUCACAUGGUGUUGUUUUUGCUGCUUAAUUGGAUGAAUUAAACCUUUUCAAAGAAAGAAGUAACCAACAUCAAUUGGCUUUUAAUGCCCUCUCAGCCCAGAGAUAAAGAAUAAUUCCCAGUAAAAUGCAUUAGACUUUUGGCCCUUGUAUUUCCAUGAAUCCUCAGAUGCCAUCUAAAUAUAUUUGAAUGAAGAUGAUGAUGAUGUGUUGUCUCAAUCAAGGACCAGGACUCAGCGGUAUUAGGCACUGUGUAAAAAUGGAACAAAUAAAUGGUUCCCACCCCAAAGAGCUUAUAAAUUAAGUAAAUUUGAGCUCAGGGUUAGCAAAGAGAAGAACACAGUGUUCUCAUUUAUUUUGCCUGAUUCACUCAGCUCUCAAGCAGGCAUAAGGAGAAAACAGAAAGGGACUGCCUGCAAAAGAGAUCACUCUGCUCACAUUAAAUAUUUGGGGUGAUAUCAGGACGGUGGGGAAGAGAAAUUUCUGCCUACACUGUAGUCAGGGUGUGUAAUGUUGGAGCCUGUCAGACCCUCUGUCUACGUGAGAACAGCUAGAGUUCCUCUGGAUAGACUGCAGUAAGUUUGUGUGGCAACCAGGGUGGUCUUGGGUUUAAAGCAGCUGCAAAUUCAACCUCCUGAUCCCAUGCUCUUUGCAGUGCUUGCUUUCUCUUUUCCCUGCUUUGGUUUCUCAGCCUCAUGUUUCAAGGACGCCCAGAAAAGGCUGUUCUUUUCCCAUCAGGCUGCAUCUCUGCAGAGCAAGUCUGAAGCCCUCGUCCAUGCCAGGCUUGUUUGACCUCCUUUCAUCGCCAGAUGUUUCACUGGAGAGCUACACUUGGGAAAGCUCUGGGCUGCACUUGGCUGCCAGUGAGCGCUGGCUUGGUCAAGCCAUUAUAAACCAAAACAGCGCAAGAAAAACAGGACGUAGUAGUCUAAGUGGAAUUGGCCGAAGGCAGAGCUGAAUCCAGGCAUUUGCACAGGGAAACACACCUGCUCUCAAGGGGUUUGGUCUUCAAAAAUCACCUUAAGUCCCAUAGACAAGUUGAGCUGAGUUGUCUGUAUUUGAUAUUCCCCCCUCCACUUGCCUAGUAGAUUAUGCUAAACUCAAUGCAGUAUCCUCUUUCUAAGCCUCUCUUACUGCAUUGUACCCUACUGAGCUCCCCAGUUGCAAUCCAACAUAACCAGGUGGGAGGAAAAGGGCAACCCAUUGUGAAGGUGCAUGGUGGGGCUGGUAGACAGAGAUAUCUGAAAUACUGGCACACAGUGCAGCCUAAUGGCUGCCAGCAAGGCUCACUUGGAGUGGGCAUGCAUAGGCAGUGAAGGGCUAUUUGGGGAAUUCGCCGUGGACCUCUGUAUGUUGCAGGACUUUUCUUCUCAAGCAUGGAGUUUGUUCUGCAGGGCUUCAGUCUACUUUGGCAACAUCUCUCUGCCCUCCUCAUUCCUCCCUCAGCUUCCUCAUUUGGGGUCAAAUUCUGUCCUGACUUACAAGUGGUGCAAACCUCUUGAAGCCACUGAGAGGAGCUGUGUAAGACAGGAGCCAGGACAGGAUUUGACUUGAAACCUGGCCAUGUGGAUGCAAAGUGAGCAGGUCCCAAAGACAAUGCAGAGCUGAUUAAUGCUGUUGUGAUGGCAGGUGUCACCCAUCAGCACUGCUAUGUAUAGUCCUGCAAGUUCAUGUGCUCAUUUUGCAAGCCAAUGCUCAUCCUUGGAAAGACGCCAUCCCUUGUUGUCAAUUUUAUUAUGCGCGGGGGGGCAGGGGGAGAGGCAGGAGUGUGAUCUGCUGUGGCCUCAGACAGGAGCCAGUUCCUGAGGCUCAGCGGGUCUGGGAGCUGAGCUGGGAUCUCUAGAAGAAGGGUUUCCCUAUGUGCUACGUGCUGUUCCAGGACUCACAUUCAGGUGUAAGAAAACACGCUCAUCCUCCAUGCCAGGGCUGUCCAGCUACCGGGCCCCAAUGCCACAAACUCUCCGAUGCCACCCACCCAUAGGGGCAGCUCCUCCCCAUGCCAUGCACACAGCUCACCCCCUCCUAUCCAAGUCUGCCAUGCAAGCAGCCCCACUUUGCCACCACACACGUGGGCUUCUUUUGCCACGUGCUCAGCGUGGGUAUCCUGGUGCCCCUGCCCCACAUGCAGCAUGGGCUGCCCUGCCCCCAGGAACAAGGUCAGGAAGUGGACGCUGUAGGAAGUAGGGGGAGCCCGGAAACUUGCAGGCCCCAUGUUGACCCCUCAUGGGCACCCCGUUGGGCAGCCCAGCUCCACGCUGUUAAUUUGAUUUCUCCUCCACUUGGAAGCUGAGCUGAGUUGUUGGUCCUGUGCUGCCACGCGGGAGAGGAACAGCACCGUGCUGACGUGUUUAUUAGAGCCCAGAGAGAAGGGUCCCACCCACUGAAUGACCAGCAUCAUGUCCUUCAGCAAUCGGGUUUCCCCAUCCAAAUCCCAGCUGUUUAUUUUAGGAAAUCUGCCUGCCUGUUGUCCACGGCUGUGUGACUAAAGACUGUAGCCGGAGUCGCGACUGGCAUCACUUCGGUGCUGUUAAGCCAGUUAAGACUCUGGCCCUGGAAACCCUGCUGCAGUUCUGAUGUGGGCUAAGCAAAUCUAAUCCUCUCAUUAAUGCCAGUCUCAUCACUUUGGUAGCGGAGCACCAGCUUUUUGUGUGUUCUCAGUUACGCACGAGGAGGAACCACAGGGUAGUCAGCGGGUCCUACACUACUCAAGGUCUUCUGCUGUAUCCCGCACUCUGGUUUCCAAGCACCUUUCGGAGGAGCAGUAAAGGGGAGUCACAUCAGGACAUGAAUAUUCAGGCUGGGAGCUAGACCUGACCCCAAGCUCUCCACUUUACCUCUCCUGCUUUUUCUGUUUCUUAUCCCAAGCAGACAGUUUCUCACUGGAUGGUCUCCUUCCAGAACGAGGCCUCCUUCUCCGGCCCCGUCUCUUCAGCCGCCAAGCCCUGCACGGUGGCAUCAUUCAGCAACCUGGGCAAGAGGAGCAGACUGAUUCAGAAGGAGGAAGGGAUCUGAUCACACUGUGUUCCGCCUUGCACACUCACAGUGACAUUUCAAUCUCUUUUAAACAUCCGCUCCCUCAUUCCUGCCUCCUAAUAUUCCCCAACGGCCCUGGCGAGAGCUAUUUUAAUCCUUCAUCAUUCAUCACGAGGCCCCUUCCUGUUCCCUUUCCAUCUGCUCCGGCAUGUACAUACUCGUGUCGAUCCGCCGAGAAAGCCCCUGCGGUAGCCAUCGUUGGAAAGGUCACCCCGGGAUAGUCACAAACAGCAGGUGUGAAACGAUCGCUGGCGCAAUUCCAGGCAUGUGGCAGGAAGGAAAAGCCUGGACAAUAGGAAGGAAUGGGAUUGUGUUUCCAGCUGAAGGCUCAUGGCAGGGCGAUGGGAUGGGACCCAUCAUGAAAAUGUGAACCGGUUAGGCUGUUGCUAAGCCUUUCCUCCUCCAACCCAGUUGUUUCCAGCUUGCUUGAAGCCAUUUAGAAACCCUGCAUGUACAAGUCACUAUGCCUCAAUCCCUCCCAGGCAAUCAGAUGAGGUAGAUGUCAUCCCUUACCUUCGACAUGGGUCCUAUUGCUUUCCCUGAUGAACAGCAAGGUGGAUUUUCCAUGACAAAAUGAACUUCAGGAUCUUAAAACAUUUGGAAUGAGCUUCUACUCUAACAUGUACAGUUCAGACACUGCUGUGAUUAGAGAGCUAGCUAGACAAACCGCUUUCCUUACACCCCUAUUCACAGCAGUGUUGUGUAAGAAAAGAACGGGGGUUCAUUUAAUGUUGCAGUGUAACUCAAUUCAUAGGAACAGUGUGAAUAGCAUUAGGUACCCGGAGGAUGCUUUCAUGCCAGUGUUUUGCUUUAGUGGAUAUAAAUGUUGCACUCUGAAACCAGUAGAGAAGGGCAGCGAUGGAAGUGUCAUGCUAUCAGCGAAUAUGGAGGUUAGCACUGGCACAAAAUUCAUGGUCUCUGCCCCAAGGUACUUCCAAAAAGGAAGUCAAUCCAGGGCAGACACCUGAUCGGCCGGGUGACCAAAAGGGGUUUCUGUCUUAGAGUGAAACUGGCCAGGAAAGCUUCUCAUCUCAUGUUGAUCUAAUAAAAGAUAUCAAAUUCA
This is a long non-coding RNA of Alligator mississippiensis (American alligator), 22331 nucleotides long. RefSeq lists it as uncharacterized. The record is from RefSeq and is a predicted model, not a curated record. The transcript has 2 exons. Lineage: Eukaryota; Metazoa; Chordata; Crocodylia; Alligatoridae.